Molecule: long non-coding RNA, 1886 nt
Filed under: Homo sapiens (human)
Lineage: Eukaryota; Metazoa; Chordata; Mammalia; Primates; Hominidae
Description: long non-coding RNA NONHSAT179313.1
Source: RNAcentral
GCGGCGCCCUGCCCUGUGCCCUCCAGCCCCGGCCAGGAGCUUUGCGGCAACAACAACGUCACCUACAUCUCCUCGUGCCACAUGCGCCAGGCCACCUGCUUCCUGGGCCGCUCCAUCGGCGUGCGCCACGCGGGCAGCUGCGCAGGCACCCCUGAGGAGCCGCCAGGUGGUGAGUCUGCAGAAGAGGAAGAGAACUUCGUGUGAGCCUGCAGGACAGGCCUGGGCCUGGUGCCCGAGGCCCCCCAUCAUCCCCUGUUAUUUAUUGCCACAGCAGAGUCUAAUUUAUAUGCCACGGACACUCCUUAGAGCCCGGAUUCGGACCACUUGGGGAUCCCAGAACCUCCCUGACGAUAUCCUGGAAGGACUGAGGAAGGGAGGCCUGGGGGCCGGCUGGUGGGUGGGAUAGACCUGCGUUCCGGACACUGAGCGCCUGAUUUAGGGCCCUUCUCUAGGAUGCCCCAGCCCCUACCCUAAGACCUAUUGCCGGGGAGGAUUCCACACUUCCGCUCCUUUGGGGAUAAACCUAUUAAUUAUUGCUACUAUCAAGAGGGCUGGGCAUUCUCUGCUGGUAAUUCCUGAAGAGGCAUGACUGCUUUUCUCAGCCCCAAGCCUCUAGUCUGGGUGUGUACGGAGGGUCUAGCCUGGGUGUGUACGGAGGGUCUAGCCUGGGUGAGUACGGAGGGUCUAGCCUGGGUGAGUACGGAGGGUCUAGCCUGGGUGAGUACGGAGGGUCUAGCCUGGGUGUGUAUGGAGGAUCUAGCCUGGGUGAGUAUGGAGGGUCUAGCCUGGGUGAGUAUGGAGGGUCUAGCCUGGGUGUGUAUGGAGGGUCUAGCCUGGGUGAGUAUGGAGGGUCUAGCCUGGGUGUGUAUGGAGGGUCUAGCCUGGGUGAGUAUGGAGGGUCUAGCCUGGGUGUGUACGGAGGGUCUAGUCUGAGUGCGUGUGGGGACCUCAGAACACUGUGACCUUAGCCCAGCAAGCCAGGCCCUUCAUGAAGGCCAAGAAGGCUGCCACCAUUCCCUGCCAGCCCAAGAACUCCAGCUUCCCCACUGCCUCUGUGUGCCCCUUUGCGUCCUGUGAAGGCCAUUGAGAAAUGCCCAGUGUGCCCCCUGGGAAAGGGCACGGCCUGUGCUCCUGACACGGGCUGUGCUUGGCCACAGAACCACCCAGCGUCUCCCCUGCUGCUGUCCACGUCAGUUCAUGAGGCAACGUCGCGUGGUCUCAGACGUGGAGCAGCCAGCGGCAGCUCAGAGCAGGGCACUGUGUCCGGCGGAGCCAAGUCCACUCUGGGGGAGCUCUGGCGGGGACCACGGGCCACUGCUCACCCACUGGCCCCGAGGGGGGUGUAGACGCCAAGACUCACGCAUGUGUGACAUCCGGAGUCCUGGAGCCGGGUGUCCCAGUGGCACCACUAGGUGCCUGCUGCCUCCACAGUGGGGUUCACACCCAGGGCUCCUUGGUCCCCCACAACCUGCCCCGGCCAGGCCUGCAGACCCAGACUCCAGCCAGACCUGCCUCACCCACCAAUGCAGCCGGGGCUGGCGACACCAGCCAGGUGCUGGUCUUGGGCCAGUUCUCCCACGACGGCUCACCCUCCCCUCCAUCUGCGUUGAUGCUCAGAAUCGCCUACCUGUGCCUGCGUGUAAACCACAGCCUCAGACCAGCUAUGGGGAGAGGACAACACGGAGGAUAUCCAGCUUCCCCGGUCUGGGGUGAGGAAUGUGGGGAGCUUGGGCAUCCUCCUCCAGCCUCCUCCAGCCCCCAGGCAGUGCCUUACCUGUGGUGCCCAGAAAAGUGCCCCUAGGUUGGUGGGUCUACAGGAGCCUCAGCCAGGCAGCCCACCCCACCCUGGGGCCCUGCCUCACCAAGGAAAUAAAGACUCAAGCCAU